CGGCCGCGGUAUUUUGACCGCGUGAAGGUAGCGUAAUCAUUUGUCUUUUAAAUGAAGACCUGUAUGAAUGGCAUAACGAGGGCUUAACUGUCUCAUCCUCCCAGUCAAUGAAAUUGAUCUCCCCGUGCAGAAGCGGGGAUAAACACAUAAGACGAAAAGACCCUGUGGAGCUUUAGAUUACAGAGCAGUCUUAAUAAAACUUUUUAAAGCCCCUGCUCAUUUAUCUUCGGUUGGGGCGACCACGGAGAAAACUUAUCCUCCACGCUGCACAAAACACCAUGUUUCUAUAGCCAAGAGCGACAGCUCCAAGCACCAGAAUCUCUGACCCUAAAGAUCCGGACACACCGAUCAACGAACCAAGUUACCCCAGGGAUAACAGCGCAAUCCCCUUCUAGAGCCCUUAUCGACAAGGGGGUUUACGACCUCGAUGUUGGAUCAGGGCAUCCUAAU
Molecule: ribosomal RNA, 450 nt
Filed under: Kryptolebias hermaphroditus
Lineage: Eukaryota; Metazoa; Chordata; Actinopteri; Cyprinodontiformes; Rivulidae
Description: partial 16S ribosomal RNA
Rfam family: Bacterial large subunit ribosomal RNA
Source: RNAcentral